UAGCGUAUAUUAAAGUUGUUGCAGUUAAAAAGCUCGUAGUUGGAUUUCUGGCAGAGGAACUAGGCCCGCAUGAUGCGGUUGCCGAGGUUCUCUACCAUCCUUCUGUUAACCCUCCUAGUUAUUUAUUUAACUGUUGGGAGCCCAGAUAUUUUACCUUGAGAAAAUUAGAGUGUUUCAGGCAGGCUAGCGCCCGGAUACAUUAGCAUGGAAUAAUAGAAUAGGACUUUUACCUCUUCUGUUGGUCUGAGGGGAUAAAGUAAUGAUUAAUAGGGAUAGUUGGGGGCAUUAGUACUUAACUGUC
Molecule: ribosomal RNA, 301 nt
Filed under: uncultured Rimostrombidium
Lineage: Eukaryota; Ciliophora; Spirotrichea; Choreotrichida; Strobilidiidae
Description: SSU rRNA
Rfam family: Eukaryotic small subunit ribosomal RNA
Source: RNAcentral